UAGAAGUCAGGUCGGAUUAAGCCAUAGUACGGGAAAAACUAUGCUACCUGUGAGCCCCGUCCAAGGACGUUAAAAGAAGUCAGGCCACUACAAGUGCCAUAGCUUGAGCAAACUAUGCAGCCUGUAGCUCCACCUGGGAAGGUGUAAAAAAUCUGGGAGGCCACAAACCAUGGAAGCUGUACGCAUGGCGUAGAGGACUAGAGGU
This 205-nucleotide long non-coding RNA is filed under the name dengue virus type 2. Its description in RNAcentral is "Dengue virus 2 partial sfRNA1". The stretch from base 156 to 205 matches the Rfam family "Flavivirus DB element", at positions 1 to 50 of the family's 72-position model. Lineage: Riboviria; Orthornavirae; Kitrinoviricota; Flasuviricetes; Amarillovirales; Flaviviridae. The record is from RNAcentral.